CGGUGAGUAGCGCAGCUUGGUAGCGCACUUGGUUUGGGUCCAAGGGGUCGCAGGUUCGAAUCCUGUCUCACCGA
This is a non-coding RNA of Pseudoalteromonas atlantica, 74 nucleotides long. The record is from Rfam. NCBI's taxonomy places the organism in Bacteria, Pseudomonadati, Pseudomonadota, Gammaproteobacteria, Alteromonadales, Pseudoalteromonadaceae.